AUUGAACGCUGGCGGCAUGCCUUACACAUGCAAGUCGAACGGCAGCACGGGUGCUUGCACCUGGUGGCGAGUGGCGAACGGGUGAGUAAUACAUCGGAACGUACCUUAUCGUGGGGGAUAACGCAGCGAAAGUUGCGCUAAUACCGCAUACGCCCUGAGGGGGAAAGCGGGGGACCGUAAGGCCUCGCGCGCUUCGAGCGGCCGAUGGCUGAUUAGCUUGUUGGGGAGGUAAAAGCUCACCAAGGCGAUGAUCAGGAGCUGGGCUGAGAGGACGAUCAGCCAAACUGGGACUGAGACCAGGCCCAGAAUCCUACGGGAGGCAGCAGUGGGGAAUUUUGGACAAUGGGGGCAACCCUGAUCCAGCAAUGCCGCGUGAGCGAAGAAGGCCUUCGGGUUGUAAAGCUCUUUUGUCAGGGAAGAAACAGCAGCUCUAACACAGUCUGCGAAUGACGGUACCUGAAGAAUAAGCACCGGCUAACUACGUGCCAGCAGCCGCGGUAA
RNAcentral lists this ribosomal RNA (501 nucleotides) under uncultured bacterium. RNAcentral's name for it is "partial 16S ribosomal RNA". It matches the Rfam family "Bacterial small subunit ribosomal RNA", at positions 29 to 523 of the family's 1533-position model. The record is from RNAcentral.